This 904-nucleotide ribosomal RNA is filed under the name uncultured bacterium. Its description in RNAcentral is "bacterial SSU rRNA". It matches the Rfam family "Bacterial small subunit ribosomal RNA", at positions 14 to 916 of the family's 1533-position model. The record is from RNAcentral.
UGAUUAUGGCUCAGGAUGAACGCUAGCGGCAGGCUUAAUACAUGCAAGUCGAGGGGCAGCAGGGGUAGCAAUACUCGCUGGCGACCGGCAAACGGGUGAGGAACAUGUACGCAACCUUCCUUUAACUGGAGGAUAGCCCCUCGAAAGAGGGAUUAAUACUCCGUAACAUAAUGAAGUGGCAUCACUUUAUUAUUAUAGCUCCGGCGGUUAAAGAUGGGCGUGCAACUGAUUAGAUAGUUGGCGGGGUAACGGCCCACCAAGUCUGCGAUCAGUAACUGGUGUGAGAGCACGACCAGUCACACGGGCACUGAGACACGGGCCCGACUCCUACGGGAGGCAGCAGUAAGGAAUAUUGGUCAAUGGACGCAAGUCUGAACCAGCCAUGCCGCGUGGAGGAUUAAGGCCCUCUGGGUUGUAAACUCCUUUUAUCUGGGAAGAAAUGUGUUUUUUCUAAGACACUUGACGGUACCAGAGGAAUAAGCACCGGCUAACUCCGUGCCAGCAGCCGCGGUAAUACGGAGGGUGCAAGCGUUAUCCGGAUUCACUGGGUUUAAAGGGUGCGUAGGCGGGCAGAUAAGUCAGUGGUGAAAUCUUCGAGCUUAACUCGGAAACUGCCGUUGAUACUAUUUGUCUUGAAUAUUGUGGAGGUAAGCGGAAUAUGUCAUGUAUCGGUGAAAUGCUUAUAUAUGACAUAGAACACCAAUUGCGAAGGCAGCUUACUACACAAUGAUUGACGCUCACGCACGAAAGCGUGGGGAUCAAACAGGAUUAGAUACCCUGGUAGUCCACGCCCUAAACGAUGAUUACUCUACAUACGCUAUAUACUGUGUGUGUCUGAGCGAAAGCAUUAAGUAAUCCACCUGGGAAGUACGAUCGCAAGAUUGAAACUCAAAUGAAUUGACGG